CCUACGGGUGGCAGCAGUGAGGAAUAUUGGUCAAUGGUCGGGAGACUGAACCAGCCAAGCCGCGUGAGGGAUGAAGGUACAGAGUAUCGUAAACCUCUUUUGUCAGGGAACAAAGGCGGGGACGUGUCCCCGGAUGAGUGUACCUGAAGAAAAAGCAUCGGCUAACUCCGUGCCAGCAGCCGCGGUAAUACGGAGGAUGCGAGCGUUAUCCGGUUUUAUUGGGUUAAAGGGGUGGGCAGGCGGUCUGUUAAGACAGCGGUAAAAGCACGGGGCUCAACCCCGGCCCGCCGUUGAAACUGGCAGUCUCGAGUUGGAGAGAAGUAUGCGGAAUGCGCGGUGUAGCGGUGAAAUGCAUAGAUAUCGCGCAGAACUCCGAUUGCGAAGGCAGCAUGCCGGCUCCACACUGACGCUGAGGCACGAAAGCGUGGGUAUCGAACAGGAUUAGAUACCCCAGUAGUC
This 459-nucleotide ribosomal RNA is filed under the name uncultured bacterium. RNAcentral describes it as "partial 16S ribosomal RNA". It matches the Rfam family "Bacterial small subunit ribosomal RNA", at positions 338 to 795 of the family's 1533-position model. The record is from RNAcentral.